CUGACUUGCCCAGUCUGGAAGCUCCCUGAAAGCCUGGCAGGCCACCCUACUUCAGCUGCAUUCGGUCCAUACACUGAGGGUCUCAGUGGGGAAAAAGCAGAGUCAUUUUAAAGAAACAUGGAUCUUAGUUUCUAGAAGGUUUUUCCCCAUCUGGCAGACAAAUUUAUGCCUAUUCCACACACAGUUCUGGAGGCUGGGAGGUUCAAGAUCAAGAUGCAGGCAGAUUCAUCUCCUGUUUAAAGUAGAGAUAUCAUGGGGAAAAGUGAGAAGUGACAUGUAUAAUUAUGGUCACAUUGAGGGAGGAAGAGACACCAUCUGGAAUGCAGGCAGAAAGCCAUGUGAAGCUCCCUGUGAGGGAAGGACUGUGGAACUGUCAAUCAUGACCAUGAGCCUUAUGCCUGAACACUCUUUCAGAUCACAAGUAGUUGCCUGUUAAAGUUGGAAUAAUGUGGAGAGAGAGUACUGAAGGGAAAGAUGGACACUACCGGUUCCGUGGCCCAGGGUUUUGGAAGAGGCGGCCUCCGGAUGACUGGAUGCACUUCUCCCUGGGACUCACCCUGUGUCGUUACAGCUCGAGCUUACUGAAAAUAACAGACAGACACCUCCACUUGUCCCCUCCAACAGAGUGGCUGCACUGGCAGCUCUCUAAUGAGUUCUAACCCCAUAGGGGCAGUUAUGAAACUGAUGCAAAAAGGAUACAAUCAAGAUAGAAGUCAAUAAGGAGCACAGAAGGCAUGAGUAAGACUUGCAUCAGAGAGGCCAAAACCCAAAAUGCGCUGGGGGUUGUGGGAGCGGCUGAAGAGCCUGGAGAAGCCGCUUAUAGUCAUUUUAAGUCAGAUUAAAGGAGUGUGUUUGGCUGACGAGAGGACCCCAUGCUUGCAUGUAUGGAGCCUUAUCUCAGCUUCCAUACCUACAAAGGGGACAUGAUUGGUGUCUACCCCAGAGAGUGGUUUUAAGAAUUAAACAAAAUGACGUGUGUGAAACUCUUGGAACAGUGUCUGGUUCAUGGCAGGAGGUGUCCGUGACGUGCCUGAGGCCAUUUGUGUGCUUACCUGUGUGUUUCUGUAAAGCAGACCCAGUGCAGGGCACCAGGGAUGUGGUGGGAGCCACACGGGAUGAUGACGUUCCUACCCUCAGGGAGCUCACACUUACGAGGGGGCAGUAGAGGUUGGGAGUGGAUAGCCUUGGAGGAGAGGGGUGGGGGUUGUCGGGAAGAGGGAGGGCUUACCUGAGCAGGAGCUGUUGAAACUGCAAGGGAGGCGGCUGGGUGGUGAGGGCAGAGCAGCAGCAAAAGGUUGGGGAUAAGGAACUGAGAGUGGGCCCUGACUGCUGAACAGGGACUGCUGUGGCAAGAGGCUUGGAGGAAGCAGAACUCAGGCACUUUCUGUUUGGUUUUAGUCUUCCUUGACAAACAGAAUCAAUUUCAGAUGAAAACGGCUUCAAUAUUGCAGAGAGGAAAUCAAAAGAGCAACUUAGCCGAGUGUGGUGGUGCAUCUGUAGUCCCAGCCACU
RNAcentral lists this long non-coding RNA (1511 nucleotides) under Homo sapiens (human). RNAcentral describes it as "HSALNT0337776". Lineage: Eukaryota; Metazoa; Chordata; Mammalia; Primates; Hominidae. The record is from RNAcentral.